GGAGGGUCCAGCUCAGUGGUAGAGCACCUGCUUAGCAUGCAUGAGGUCCUGGGUUCAAUCCCCAGUCCCUCCA
This 73-nucleotide transfer RNA is filed under the name Camelus bactrianus (Bactrian camel). It matches the Rfam family "tRNA". From Rfam's summary of the family: Transfer RNA (tRNA) molecules are approximately 80 nucleotides in length. Their secondary structure includes four short double-helical elements and three loops (D, anti-codon, and T loops). The record is from Rfam by way of RNAcentral. RNAcentral also lists the same sequence under 2 other names. Lineage: Eukaryota; Metazoa; Chordata; Mammalia; Artiodactyla; Camelidae.